AUGCAAUGAUAAGGACACUUCCUUAAUAAUUCCUUGUAUCUUUCCCAUGCUUCAUAUAAUGGUUCUCUAUCUUGCUGAACAAAAGAUGUGAUUUCCCUUCUUAUUUU
Small nucleolar RNA from Abrus precatorius (Indian licorice), 107 nucleotides. The record is from RefSeq and is a predicted model, not a curated record. NCBI's taxonomy places the organism in Eukaryota, Viridiplantae, Streptophyta, Magnoliopsida, Fabales, Fabaceae.